RNAcentral lists this ribosomal RNA (863 nucleotides) under uncultured bacterium. Its description in RNAcentral is "bacterial SSU rRNA". It matches the Rfam family "Bacterial small subunit ribosomal RNA", at positions 61 to 904 of the family's 1533-position model. The record is from RNAcentral.
GUCGAGCGGACGGAUGGGAGCUUGCUCCCUGAAGUCAGCGGCGGACGGGUGAGUAACACGUGGGCAACCUGCCUGUAAGACUGGGAUAACUUCGGGAAACCGGAGCUAAUACCGGAUAAUGCAUAACCUCUCAUGAGGUUAUGCUGAAAGAUGGUUUCGGCUAUCACUUACAGAUGGGCCCGCGGCGCAUUAGCUAGUUGGUGAGGUAACGGCUCACCAAGGCAACGAUGCGUAGCCGACCUGAGAGGGUGAUCGGCCACACUGGGACUGAGACACGGCCCAGACUCCUACGGGAGGCAGCAGUAGGGAAUCUUCCGCAAUGGACGAAAGUCUGACGGAGCAACGCCGCGUGAGUGAUGAAGGUUUUCGGAUCGUAAAACUCUGUUGUUAGGGAAGAACAAGUGCCGGAGUAACUGCCGGCACCUUGACGGUACCUAACCAGAAAGCCACGGCUAACUACGUGCCAGCAGCCGCGGUAAUACGUAGGUGGCAAGCGUUGUCCGGAAUUAUUGGGCGUAAAGCGCGCGCACGCGGUCUCUUAAGUCUGAUGUGAAAGCCCACGGCUCAACCGUGGAGGGUCAUUGGAAACUGGGGGACUUGAGUGCAGAAGAGGAAAGUGCAAUUCCACGUGUAGCGGUGAAAUGCGUAGAGAUGUGGAGGAACACCAGUGGCGACGGCGACUUUCUGGUCUGUAACUGACGCUGAGGCGCGAAAGCGUGGGGAGCAAACAGGAUUAGAUACCCUGCUAGUCCACGCCGUAAACGAUGAGUGCUAAGUGUUAGAUGGGUUUCCGCCCUUUAGUGCUGCAGCAAUCGCAUUCAGCACUCGGCUGGGGGGAGUACCGGCGCAAGGCUGAAACUCAA